RNAcentral lists this ribosomal RNA (495 nucleotides) under uncultured bacterium. Its description in RNAcentral is "partial 16S ribosomal RNA". It matches the Rfam family "Bacterial small subunit ribosomal RNA", at positions 28 to 523 of the family's 1533-position model. The record is from RNAcentral.
GAUGAACGCUAGCGGGAGGCCUAACACAUGCAAGCCGAGCGGUAGAGUUCCUUCGGGAACUUGAGAGCGGCGUACGGGUGCGUAACACGUGUGCAACCUACCUUUAUCUGGGGGAUAGCCUUUCGAAAGGAAGAUUAAUACCCCAUAAUAUAUUGAAUGGCAUCAUUUAAUAUUGAAAACUCUGGUGGAUAGAGAUGGGCACGCGCAAGAUUAGAUAGUUGGAGAGGUAACGGCUCACCAAGUCUGUGAUCUUUAGGGGUCCUGAGAGGGAGAUCCCCCACACUGGUACUGAGACACGGACCAGACUCCCACGGGAGGCAGCAGUGAGGAAUAUUGGACAAUGGGUGAGAGCCUGAUCCAGUCAUCCCGCGUGAAGGAUGACGGUCCUAUGGAUUGUAAACUUCUUUUGUACAGGAAUAAACCUAUUUACGUGUAAAUAGCUGAAGGUACUGUACGAAUAAGCACCGGCUAACUCCGUGCCAGCAGCCGCGGUAA